AUUGAACGCUGGCGGCAGGCCUAACACAUGCAAGUCGAGCGGAUGAAGGGAGCUUGCUCCUGGAUUCAGCGGAGGACGGGUGUGUCAUGCCUAGAACUCUGCCUGGUCGUGGGGGAUAACGUCCGGAAACGGGCGCUAUUACGGCAUACGAUCUGAGGGAGAUAGUGGGGGAUCUUAGGAUCUCACGCUAUCAGAUGAGCUUAGGUCGGAUUAGCUAGUUGGUGGGGUAAAGGCUUACCAAGGCUACGAUCCGUAACUGGUCUGAGAGGAUGACCAGUCACACUGGAACUGAGACACGGUCCAGACUCCUACGGGAGGCAGCAGUGGGGAAUAUUGGACAAUGGGCGAAAUCCUGAUCCAGCCAUGCCGCGUGUAUGAAGAAAGUCUUCGGAUUGGAAAACACUUUAAGGUGUGAGAAACGGCAGUAAGUUAAUACCUUGUUGUUUUGACGUUACCAACAGAAUAAGCACCGGCUAACUUCGUG
This 484-nucleotide ribosomal RNA is filed under the name uncultured bacterium. RNAcentral describes it as "partial 16S ribosomal RNA". It matches the Rfam family "Bacterial small subunit ribosomal RNA", at positions 30 to 507 of the family's 1533-position model. The record is from RNAcentral.